AUUGAACGCUGGCGGCAGGCCUAACACAUGCAAGUCGAACGGUAACAGGAAGCAGCUUGCUGCUUUGCUGACGAGUGGCGGACGGGUGAGUAAUGUCUGGGAAACUGCCUGAUGGAGGGGGAUAACUACUGGAAACGGUAGCUAAUACCGCAUAACGUCGCAAGACCAAAGAGGGGGACCUUCGGGCCUCUUGCCAUCGGAUGUGCCCAGAUGGGAUUAGCUAGUAGGUGGGGUAACGGCUCACCUAGGCGACGAUCCCUAGCUGGUCUGAGAGGAUGACCAGCCACACUGGAACUGAGACACGGUCCAGAGUCCUACGGGAGGCAGCAGUGGGGAAUAUUGCACAAUGGGCGCAAGCCUGAUGCAGCCAUGCCGCGUGUAUGAAGAAGGCCUUCGGGUUGUAAAGUACUUUCAGCGGGGAGGAAGGGAGUAAAGUUAAUACCUUUGCUCAUUGACGUUACCCGCAGAAGAAGCACCGGCUAACUCCGUG
Molecule: ribosomal RNA, 490 nt
Filed under: uncultured bacterium
Lineage: Bacteria
Description: partial 16S ribosomal RNA
Rfam family: Bacterial small subunit ribosomal RNA
Source: RNAcentral